CCUACGGGUGGCAGCAGUGAGGAAUCUUGGUCUAUGGGCGAGAGCCUGAACCAGCCAAGUCGCGUGAAGGAUGACGGCCCUACGGGUUGUAAACUUCUUUUGUCAGGGAGCAAUUAGGUCCACGCGUGGGCUUAGCGAGAGUACCGGAAGAAAAAGCAUCGGCUAACUACGUGCCAGCAGCCGCGGUAAUACGUAGGGGGCGAGCGUUAUCCGGAAUUAUUGGGCGUAAAGGGUGCGUAGAUGGCAUAGUAAGUCUUUUGUAAAAAUGCUGGGCUCAACCCAGUAGGGCAAAAGAUAAUGGAAAGCUAGAGUAUGACAGAGGCAAGUGGAACUACAUGUGUAGCGGUAAAAUGCGUAAAUAUAUGUAAGAACACCAGUGGCGAAGGCGGCUUGCUGGGUCGAUACUGACAUUGAGGCACGAAAGCGUGGGGAGCGAACAGGAUUAGAUACCCUAGUAGUC
Molecule: ribosomal RNA, 460 nt
Filed under: uncultured bacterium
Lineage: Bacteria
Description: partial 16S ribosomal RNA
Rfam family: Bacterial small subunit ribosomal RNA
Source: RNAcentral